Molecule: long non-coding RNA, 588 nt
Filed under: Theobroma cacao (cacao)
Lineage: Eukaryota; Viridiplantae; Streptophyta; Magnoliopsida; Malvales; Malvaceae
Description: long non-coding RNA (TCAC_LNC002713)
Source: RNAcentral
CCCCUUUCAACUACCGUCACUGCUGUCCUCCCUUGCUCUGCAUUUUUUUACUUUUCUGCUGCUUGCAAUGUGCAAAAAGUAAUCUUGAUUAUUCUUUUUUUUUUCUUUCGUUCUUCGAAGAACUGUCAUAUUAAAAUAUAUGAUUGAUGGUAUUAAAGCUAACACAAAAUGUAUUAAAUUACUCUGAAAUUUUAGUCUUAUUUUGUACAGUCUACUAAGUUAACUUAUGCAAAUAUUGAAGUCUUAGAGUACCUCAGCUUGCUCGUAUUUAAUGAAGGAAGAUUGUUACUGGUGUAUCAGGCAACUUCAGCUGGGUCCUUGGGUGGCCUAUGCUGCUUCAGAGCAUGGGUUGGAUUCACAAUUCCUACAUCAAGACUUGCUAAAUCCUCGAUCUUCCGUGACAAGAAAGGCAAAGUUGGAUAUGUAAUCUGCCUUCAGAAGCAAACCAUAUCAUUUUUCUUCUAAAAAGAAAAGGUGGGCUGAAACAUCUCUUUGGUCAUCCGUCAUAAUUUAGUAGCUAAGACAUGGAACUUCAAUUUAUGCCUUGGUGAUGAAGGAAAGGCAACCACCAAUCAAGUUAUAAUGGGA